UCCUAUGGCCAUGUCAACCUGAACAAGCCAAUCCUGUUUGAUCUCAGAAGCUAAGCAGGGUCAAGCCUAGUUAGUACUUGGAUGGGAGGCCAUCUAGGAAGACCAGGUGCUGUAGACA
Molecule: ribosomal RNA, 118 nt
Organism: Pteropus vampyrus (large flying fox)
Lineage: Eukaryota; Metazoa; Chordata; Mammalia; Chiroptera; Pteropodidae
Source: Ensembl